Molecule: unclassified non-coding RNA, 331 nt
Filed under: soil metagenome
Description: partial contains 5.8S ribosomal RNA, internal transcribed spacer 2, and large subunit ribosomal RNA
Rfam family: 5.8S ribosomal RNA (bases 1-120)
Source: RNAcentral
GAUGAAGAACGUAGCGAAAUGCGAUAAGUAAUGUGAAUUGCAGAAUUCAGUGAAUCAUCGAAUCUUUGAACGCACAUUGCGCCCCCUGGUAUUCCGGGGGGCAUGCCUGUUCGAGCGUCAUUUCACCACUCAAGCCUCGCUUGGUAUUGGGCAACGCGGUCCGCCGCGUGCCUCAAAUCGACCGGCUGGGUCUUCUGUCCCCUAAGCGUUGUGGAAACUAUUCGCUAAAGGGUGUUCGGGAGGCUACGCCGUAAAACAACCCCAUUUCUAAGGUUGACCUCGGAUCAGGUAUGGAUACCCGCUGAACUUAAGCAUAUCAAUAAGCGGAGGA